This 497-nucleotide ribosomal RNA is filed under the name uncultured bacterium. RNAcentral's name for it is "partial 16S ribosomal RNA". It matches the Rfam family "Bacterial small subunit ribosomal RNA", at positions 28 to 507 of the family's 1533-position model. The record is from RNAcentral.
GACGAACGCUGGCGGCGUGCCUAAUACAUGCAAGUUGAGCGAUGAAGAUUGGUGCUUGCACCAAUUUGAAGAGCAGCGAACGGGUGAGUAACGCGUGGGGAAUCUGCCUUUGAGCGGGGGACAACAUUUGGAAACGAAUGCUAAUACCGCAUAACAACUUUAAACAUAAGUUUUAAGUUUGAAAGAUGCAAUUGCAUCACUCAAAGAUGAUCCCGCGUUGUAUUAGCUAGUUGGUGAGGUAAAGGCUCACCAAGGCGAUGAUACAUAGCCGACCUGAGAGGGUGGUCGGCCACAACGGGACUGGGACACGGCCCAAACUCCUACGGGGGGCAGCAGUAGGGAAUCUUCGGCAAUGGGCGAAAGUCUGGCCGAGCAACGCCGCGUGGGGGAAGAAGGUUUUCGGAUCGUAAAACUCUGUUGGUAGGGAAGAACGUUGGGGAGAGUGGAAAGCUCAUCAAGUGACGGUAACUACCCAGAAAGGGACGGCUAACUACGUG